GACGUAGGGGGCAAGCGUUAUUCGGAAUCAUUGGGCGUAAAGCGCUCGUAGGCGGAUCGGACAGUCGGUGAAGAAAGACCCGGGCUCAACUCGGGGAACGGCACCGAUACUAUCGAUCUUGAGGCAAUCAGAGGGUGAUGGAAUUCCCGGUGUAGAGGUGAAAUUCGUAGAUAUUGGGAAGAACACCGGUGGCGAAGGCGGCUCUCUGGACCGACACUGACGCUGAGGCGGCGAAAAGCGUGG
Molecule: ribosomal RNA, 243 nt
Filed under: uncultured bacterium
Lineage: Bacteria
Description: partial 16S ribosomal RNA
Rfam family: Bacterial small subunit ribosomal RNA
Source: RNAcentral